RNAcentral lists this ribosomal RNA (429 nucleotides) under Chloroflexota bacterium. Its description in RNAcentral is "Chloroflexi bacterium partial 16S ribosomal RNA". It matches the Rfam family "Bacterial small subunit ribosomal RNA", at positions 355 to 776 of the family's 1533-position model. The record is from RNAcentral. Lineage: Bacteria; Bacillati; Chloroflexota.
UAGGGAAUCUUCGGCAAUGGACGAAAGUCUGACCGAGCAACGCCGCGUGAGUGAAGAAGGUUUUCGGAUCGUAAAACUCUGUUGUUAGAGAAGAACAAGGACGUUAGUAACUGAACGUCCCCUGACGGUAUCUAACCAGAAAGCCACGGCUAACUACGUGCCAGCAGCCGCGGUAAUACGUAGGUGGCAAGCGUUGUCCGGAUUUAUUGGGCGUAAAGCGAGCGCAGGCGGUUUCUUAAGUCUGAUGUGAAAGCCCCCGGCUCAACCGGGGAGGGUCAUUGGAAACUGGGAGACUUGAGUGCAGAAGAGGAGAGUGGAAUUCCAUGUGUAGCGGUGAAAUGCGUAGGUAUAUGGAGGAACACCAGUGGCGAAGGCGGCUCUCUGGUCUGUAACUGACUCUGAGUCUCGAAAGCGUGGGUAGCAAACAGG